Molecule: ribosomal RNA, 458 nt
Filed under: Aspergillus flavus
Lineage: Eukaryota; Fungi; Ascomycota; Eurotiomycetes; Eurotiales; Aspergillaceae
Description: eukaryotic LSU rRNA
Rfam family: 5.8S ribosomal RNA (bases 87-240)
Source: RNAcentral
UCAGCCCCGGGCCCGCGCCCGCCGGAGACACCACGAACUCUGUCUGAUCUAGUGAAGUCUGAGUUGAUUGUAUCGCAAUCAGUUAAAACUUUCAACAAUGGAUCUCUUGGUUCCGGCAUCGAUGAAGAACGCAGCGAAAUGCGAUAACUAGUGUGAAUUGCAGAAUUCCGUGAAUCAUCGAGUCUUUGAACGCACAUUGCGCCCCCUGGUAUUCCGGGGGGCAUGCCUGUCCGAGCGUCAUUGCUGCCCAUCAAGCACGGCUUGUGUGUUGGGUCGUCGUCCCCUCUCCGGGGGGGACGGGCCCCAAAGGCAGCGGCGGCACCGCGUCCGAUCCUCGAGCGUAUGGGGCUUUGUCACCCGCUCUGUAGGCCCGGCCGGCGCUUGCCGAACGCAAAUCAAUCUUUUUCCAGGUUGACCUCGGAUCAGGUAGGGAUACCCGCUGAACUUAAGCAUAUCAA